RNAcentral lists this long non-coding RNA (442 nucleotides) under Homo sapiens (human). RNAcentral describes it as "non-protein coding lnc-SYCP3-2:2". Lineage: Eukaryota; Metazoa; Chordata; Mammalia; Primates; Hominidae. The record is from RNAcentral.
CCUCAGUUCAUCCAUGUGAUAUAAGCCACACCCAUUUACAUCUGAGGUCACAACUACUCAUCAGAUUUUGAAUAAUCCUCUUUCUACUGCUUCACAACAGUUCACAAGCCACAACACUUCCAGCAUUAAUUCUUCUUCAACAAACCAGAAGACUCAUUAGGAUCCAUAAUAGCUGCCAGUGUAGAGGAGCCUCAGUUACUUUCACUUUGAUCAUUAUCCCUGGGAGAAGAAGCCAACAGCUCCUGGUGACCACAAUAAGAGAUUUCAUUUUUACCUCUUACGAAGAGCUCAGUGGAACAUUUCUCAUCACCGGCUGUCACAUAAUACUCUGAAUCAUCUGUCAUCUGACAGUUAUUGAUAAACAGGAUUCUCUGGCAUCCUUUGUGUUCAAAGAUGUAUCUGUUUUGAAUAGGAUGAAAAUAAACAGAGUCUGUGAAUGUGA